This is a long non-coding RNA of Neoarius graeffei (lesser salmon catfish), 729 nucleotides long. RefSeq lists it as uncharacterized. The record is from RefSeq and is a predicted model, not a curated record. The transcript has 3 exons. NCBI's taxonomy places the organism in Eukaryota, Metazoa, Chordata, Actinopteri, Siluriformes, Ariidae.
GAAAUAGCAGCAAUUAUUUUUGAAAAACAAGCAAACAUCUUCAUCAUAACUCAAGCUCUAAAAGCCCUCCAUAAUAUUACACCUCACGCUCUUCCAAACCCUGGUGAAUUGUGUAUGGCAAAAUCCAUGUCAGAUUUGAAAGCAGUGUAUUCAGCAUGAACUGGAAUGCGAAGAAUAUUUUCACAAGUAUUUGCCUGUGGAAAUCAGGAAUGAGUAAUGAACUCAAGGCUUGGCUUUGGAGAGAAGCCCAGUGCUGGAACACUGUCACAUCCAGUGAGGAAAACAAGAAUAUCCUCCAGAGAGACAUUGUUUUUAACUGAAAGAUAUAAAAAAGAAUAACACAAUUAAAUGAUGACUACAUCUACCAGCAUUUUCAUGAAGUCAUUAAGUAGUAUACCACUGAAGUGAUGCAAAGUGAUGUAAGAGAGGUUUGGAAUGUUUUAGAGCAGCUACCGUACCUCAAACUGACUACAUUUCUGGACUACAUUUCUGGAACUACAAUUCUGGACUACAUUACCUCAAACUUGACAACAUUUCUGGAUCACAGUGAAUAUUCUGAUGACAGUCAGCAGCAACUGCAGCAUAGUGCGGCAGGAGCUGGAGGACCCGGAGUGUGAGACAAUACAGGAGCAAGCAGGAGAACCAACAGCUGAAGAGCUGAAGAUUUACAAUUUACUGAUGCUUGUUUUAGCUUCUUGGUUCCCUACCUACCUCUGUAUUUAAUUCAAU